GAGUUAACCCACCACAUGACCAGAAGUCCAGGGGUUAGGGUAUCACCAGAGGAGAGCUGAGAGGGCUCUCUUACAACCCAGGGGUGCUGCGCUUCAUGAUGUGUAUUGGCUUCAUCCUCCGGCUGCAGGAAUUACAGAGGUCACCUUCAAAGAGUACCUUAUCCAGAGGAAAACAGACACUGUCUCCUUAGGUCUCUCAUUCGGAGAAAGGAAACCUUUCCCACAGGCCUUCCCAACAGACUUCCCCUCAUGCAUCAGCCAGAAUUAGGUCACUUACCCAUGCUUAAACCAGACACAGCAGAAGGCAAGAAUUCUCACGACUGACAUCAUCUAGAGUGGAAUAAUUUCGAGGACUCAACUAAGUGGCCACCACAAGCAGAAAAGGAAGGAACUCACAUGUUCUUUCUGAGACCCUGGGUGUUUCUCAACCAUCCUCUCUUUCAUUCUCUCAUCCACGCUCAUCCAGGUGUGUGCUAUUACCCUCUCCGUACUGAGAAGAAAUCAGAGGCUCUGCCCAGGGCCCCAUAUACGUACUGUGCUCCAAAGCCCCUGCUGUUUUUAUUACUGGGCACUGCAGACUUGGAGUGCAGUGGAAAGACAGAAGCUGUGCCCAGAGAGAGGAUUUGCAGUGUUAAAUAUCUUGUGGCAACAUUUCUUUUGAAGUGUUACACGCUUGGUUGGCUUCAAUGAAGACCUCUAGGACUGAGGACCGUGAGAGCAACAGUUGAAGGCAUCAAAAAAAAAAAAAAAAAAAAAAAAGAGAGAGAGAGAGUCCUCAAACAGUUUUCUUUGUGAUUGCUCAGGCUUGGGUGCCAAGGUCUGGCCAGCAGACUAUGAGCAGAUGUGAUGUGUCCCGAGUCUGGACCAAGGCAGCUUGGAGCUGGGGUGCCUCCUUCUGUUUUCUGUUCCCUACUGGGGUGACUGGACGUGAAAGACAACAGAACUACAAGAGGACCUGGAUGGGACUUCAUGUUUAUAGAGAAAUUAGUGUUUCUGUUACCUCGGCAUAGCCUAGCAGUGCCUGGCUAAUACACCUGCCCAAGCCUGUGUCAGCCACUUUCAUGCCUGCUUUCCUCACCGAGCCAUCCCGAUGAGCCUACCAUAAAAGCAGGGCUUGGAAACGUCGUGUAGCUGAACUAAGCUCACAUAGCUUGUGGGUGGCACUGACGGAACUUGAACCAAUCAAUAUGCAUCUAAAACCCAUGAUUUUUCUAUCCUGCCUCAACAUAGCACAUCUUAGCACCUUCCCGCGAAGGAGUCUAAAGAAUCUGGCAUGGCUGGACAAGAGGCACUGGGAGAAGCACAAAGAUCUGGCUGGUCCCAGGUCCUCACCAACGUCUCCAGGUCUUUAGGUUUGCCCCUCUGAUCUCUCCAUUUCUUGUUCUUUUUAAUUCUGGAGGCAAAGUAGCAGUGUGGUUAAGAGAAUGGACUUUUGGAGCCCUGCCACUCACAAGCUGUGUGACCUUGACCAACAUACUUCACCUCAGCAAGCUUCAAUCUCCUCAUUAGCAGAAAUGAGGAUAAAAGUACCUACCUCAUAGGGUGGUCAUAAGGCUUAAAUGAAAUGGUGUCUGCAAAGUACUCAGUGUGGGGUCUGGCAGAUUGGAAAUGCUUGGUGAAUAGUAGCUAAUAAAUG
Molecule: long non-coding RNA, 1636 nt
Organism: Bos taurus (domestic cattle)
Lineage: Eukaryota; Metazoa; Chordata; Mammalia; Artiodactyla; Bovidae
Source: Ensembl